Molecule: long non-coding RNA, 2360 nt
Organism: Heterocephalus glaber (naked mole-rat)
Lineage: Eukaryota; Metazoa; Chordata; Mammalia; Rodentia; Bathyergidae
Source: Ensembl
CACUUGCAGUGGACAGAAUGUGCUCGGCACCCCCAUAGAGGGUGACAGGUGCCCUCAGUAUUAAUUCAUCUACUCCUAACGAUGCAGACUUAUAAUCCUAUUUCCCAGGUGAGGAAAUGGGCUCAGCUGCUUCCUUCAGCUAUGGUCAAGCAGCUAGUGAGUCUCAGAGCUAGAAUUUGAGCCUGGGCAGGUGAGCCCAGGACCUAAGACACUGGCACCACCUUGUCCGGAUUGACAAAGAACAACUGAAGUCUGCUGCCUCCAAGUUGUGACCAAAGUCACCGCAAGAUUCCUGGAGCCUGGAACACGAUGCGACACAAGCAGAGGAAGCAGCGGCCCAAGCUCUGACGGGAACAUGCUUCUACACGCGAGCUCACGGAAGCCCACACAGCGCUCCCUCGGGCGCGCCUGCGUGGAAGGGACCACCCCACCUCCCCCUGCCCAGUUCCCAGCUGCCUGCUCGGGGUCGCCCCGCAGAAUCAGCCCACCAAUCCAUCAGCGGGCAGCAGGCUCCGAGCUGCUGGGGGCAUAAAUCAAAUGGCAAGGAGGAAAGGUUUAAAAAAAGUCUCUGGGCCUUUGAGGCCUCCCCGCUGAUGUAUUUGGACGUCUCGGGCCGUCUGUUCGCGGAGGCCACCCCAGCCCCUGGGCCCGGCCCAGCCCCCCAAGCACGUUCCUUCCAUCAGCGGCGGCUGCCCUUGGAGGCUUUUGAAGUGGGUCCUGCUGGUGUUUAUUCGCCUUCGUGAAGAGACCGAUUGCUCGCUUUUCUGACCACGAAGACAGCUACAAAACUCCUACUGAUGACAAAACAGACCCGUAGCAGGAACUCUAGACUUCUCUCCGGUUGGGAUUUAGUACCGCUGGGCUCCUUUCUGAUCCUCGCUAGGAACUAAGUCAUCAAGAUGUAUAGCCCCACCCCCACCCCCCUUCUUCUUUAGCUCGAGCAGGUAACUUUCCAGAAGAGGAGCUGGCUGCAGAAUCUUUUACACUUGGGGUAAGACGGCUGAGUGUCAACAAACAGUAGCUGUCCUGAUGUAUCAGGUCUUCAAUGAUGCUUUAAUCUCAAGACCACUUGAUUCUUACCGCAACUGAGAAACCUUACAGGUAGAAAUACACGCGCGAUCUAGGGCCUUUUGGCUCUAGAGUGCUUUUCAAGAAUGUAACUCUUGGAGCACACUGUAGGACAGCGCUGGGCAAAUCCUGGCUUCAGGUCAGAGCUUGAUGCUCAGAGGUGAAGCGAGUUCCGGAUUUCUUCCUGGUUAGACAGGAAGCAGUUAAACAACUCUGUUCUCCUACCACAAGGAGGCGCUGUGAAGAUCGCGGUAGACCUGGAUCUUGGUUCUUGGUCACAGCGUUCUCAUAAUUAGAGACAUCCAGGAUGAGCCCAAAGGGACCUCAGAGGUGCCAGGUUUGGUGCCACCCUGUCACAGAGUGGCACCAUAGGGCAGAGGUGUCUCUGGUUCUCGCCUGGUGCUGGAGCCAGGCUUUGGGUGGCCACUAGGUCUCUGCAGGGUACUGAAGGCCUGCAGAGUCCUCCUCCUCCAGAGCAGUGAUGCUUCCAGAACCAGUGAGCACUUGCGUUUCUGCUCCUGUCUUUAAUCAGAGUGGUUUCAAGUGUCUGGUUUAUUUUUUAAACAUAGGAAAGAUUUAGCAUCAAACUUACAAGUAUUAAUCUUUGGACAUACUUUAUUUUGGAAUAAUUCAGAUUUAUAGAAAAGUGGUGAAGAUAAUACAGACAGAGGCCAUAUACCGCUCUCCCAGCCUCCCCCAAUGCUGACCUCCAAAUGACCAGGGAAGGGAACAUUAGUUUAUUACUAUUCACUAACGCCUGAAUUGGAUUUCAGCAAGGUCUCUCUUACUGUCUUUUUACUGUCUUGGCAUCUGGUCAGGGUACCAUACUGCAUUUAAGAGGGUAUUACUUUCUAUUACAAUACAGAAUUAAUUUCCUAAACAAACCAUGCCACAUGCACACACACACACACACACACACACACACACACACACACACACAAAGAAAGGAAAAGUCCCCUCUGCCCUAUUAAGUUUGGUCUGUAGCCUUCUAGAUCUUCAUCAUCCAAUACGAUACCUGGCUGAUGAGGUGACCACAAGUUAAAUGAACUAAAAUCCACCAUAACUAACAUUCAGUUCCUCAGUCACACUGAUUACAUCCCAUGGGCUCAGUAGCACACAUUGCUGGUGGUUACCAGCCCCAGGCAGCAUAGAGAGCAGAGCCUUCCAUAGCACACCGGGCUUGCAUUGUUCUAGGUGUGUUUCUAGGUUUAAAUAUACGUGUUUAACAUUUUACCUAAUUUUUUCCCCCAUUGAUUGACUUUUUCUUUCAUUAAAAGAUUUGUAGCAUGCAA